The sequence is a transfer RNA, 88 nucleotides long. It matches the Rfam family "tRNA". Rfam says of the family: Transfer RNA (tRNA) molecules are approximately 80 nucleotides in length. Their secondary structure includes four short double-helical elements and three loops (D, anti-codon, and T loops). Further hydrogen bonds mediate the characteristic L-shaped molecular structure. tRNAs have two regions of fundamental functional importance: the anti-codon, which is responsible for specific mRNA codon recognition, and the 3' end, to which the tRNAs corresponding amino acid is attached (by aminoacyl-tRNA synthetases). tRNAs cope with the degeneracy of the genetic code in two manners: having more than one tRNA (with a specific anti-codon) for a particular amino acid; and 'wobble' base-pairing, i.e. permitting non-standard base-pairing at the 3rd anti-codon position. The record is from Rfam.
GGUCCCUUGGCCUAGUUGGUUAUGGCGUGGUGCUAAUAUCUGCGAGGAAGUUACGCCAAGGUCAGCAGUUCGAUCCUGCUAGGGACCA